Molecule: ribosomal RNA, 497 nt
Filed under: uncultured bacterium
Lineage: Bacteria
Description: partial 16S ribosomal RNA
Rfam family: Bacterial small subunit ribosomal RNA
Source: RNAcentral
GAUGAACGCUGGCGGCGUGCCUAAUACAUGCAAGUCGAGCGAACAGACGAGGAGCUUGCUCCUCUGACGUUAGCGGCGGACGGGUGAGUAACACGUGGAUAACCUACCUAUAAGACUGGGAUAACUUCGGGAAACCGGAGCUAAUACCGGAUAAUAUAUUGAACCGCAUGGUUCAAUAGUGAAAGACGGUUUUGCUGUCACUUAUAGAUGGAUCCGCGCCGCAUUAGCUAGUUGGUAAGGUAACGGCUUACCAAGGCAACGAUGCGUAGCCGACCUGAGAGGGUGAUCGGCCACACUGGAACUGAGACACGGUCCAGACUCCUAAGGGAGGCAGCAGUAGGGAAUCUUUCGCAAUGGGCGAAAGGCUGACGGAGCAACGCCGCGUGAGGGAUGAAGGUCUUCGGAUCGUAAAACUCUGUUAUUAGGGAAGAACAAAUGUGUAAGUAACUAUGCACGUCUUGACGGUACCUAAUCAGAAAGCCACGGCUAACUACGUG